GAUGAACGCUGGCGGCGUGCCUAAUACAUGCAAGUCGAGCGAACGGACGAGAAGCUUGCUUCUCUGAUGUUAGCGGCGGACGGGUGAGUAACACGUGGAUAACCUACCUAUAAGACUGGGAUAACUUCGGGAAACCGGAGCUAAUACCGGAUAAUAUUUUGAACCGCAUGGUUCAAAAGUGAAAGACGGUCUUGCUGUCACUUAUAGAUGGAUCCGCGCUGCAUUAGCUAGUUGGUAAGGUAACGGCUUACCAAGGCAACGAUGCAUAGCCGACCUGAGAGAGUGAUCGGCCACACGGGAACUGAGACACGGUCCAGGCUCCUACGGGAGGCAGCAGUAGGGAAUCGUCCGCAAUAGGCGAAAGCCUGACGGAGCAACGCCGCGUGAGUGAUGAAGGUCUUCGGAUCGUAAAACUCUGUUAUUAGGGAAGAACAUAUGUGUAAGUAACUGUGCACAUCUUGACGGUACCUAAUCAGAAAGCCACGGCUAACUACGUG
RNAcentral lists this ribosomal RNA (497 nucleotides) under uncultured bacterium. RNAcentral's name for it is "partial 16S ribosomal RNA". It matches the Rfam family "Bacterial small subunit ribosomal RNA", at positions 28 to 507 of the family's 1533-position model. The record is from RNAcentral.